Molecule: transfer RNA, 68 nt
Filed under: Myliobatis californica (bat eagle ray)
Lineage: Eukaryota; Metazoa; Chordata; Chondrichthyes; Myliobatiformes; Myliobatidae
Description: tRNA-Ser
Source: RNAcentral
AAGAAAGGUCUGGGGACAAGGGAAACUGCUAAUCUCCCCACCCAUGGUUCAAAUCCAUGGCUCUCUUA